Molecule: long non-coding RNA, 2986 nt
Organism: Lutra lutra (Eurasian river otter)
Lineage: Eukaryota; Metazoa; Chordata; Mammalia; Carnivora; Mustelidae
Exons: 3
Source: RefSeq, a predicted model, not a curated record
AGGCCAGAAACGCCGAGAGCCUCGUCCUAGGUCCUUGCCUCUGCCAAAGGCCGGUGGCAGGGCGGGAGCAGUAAUAAGGAUGUUUAAUGAGCGCUAAUGAUACUAAGAGCUUUACCGGGACUAACUCAUCUAAUCCUGCCAUCCGACCCAUGAGAGUUAUCAACCCCAUCUACGUGAGGAAAUCGAGGCUCGGACAGCUUGCCCAGCUCACACCGCCAGUCGGCGAGGAGACGCUGACAAUAGAACCCCCGACUCUCGGCUGCCGCCCCGGGCCCCACGCACUGCACCACCCAGCCUCCUCCCGCGGGCCCCGCGCCAGCCUCUCCGUGCGCCGAAUCCGGAAAGAAGUCCUGUCCGACUCCAGUCCGCCCCCGAAGGUUCCUUUCGAUCGCGGAGCUGCGCCGCCUCCUGCCUCCUCCCUCUCUGCCCCCUUCCCUCCAGGUUUCCAGGAGGGAGCUGGUGGGGGAGGGGGAGGUUAGCGCCCCGCGCCCCCCGCGGCCGACCCAGCCCCCACCCCCGCGCCGCCCGGUCCCGUCCCUGUUACAGCGUGUGGGCGGCGAUCCAGCAGGAGGUGGAGCAGAUCCACAGGCCGAAGGAGAUGCAGACGCGGUGGCGGGCGAAGCAGCGGUCCAGGAGUCGCUGGUGUUGCUGCUGAAAGGUCACAGGGUCUCUUCCAGGAGGAGGAUGACAGUACAGAAGUUUACCCUACAAAGACAUCAAGAAGCGUAACAGCACAUCACAGGUGCCAUGUGUGUUAUCCCAGAAGAAAAGUCCUCCGAGAAGCUAUCUCCGCCAGGCACCCUCUGGCAAGCUUCCUGCUUUUUGAUGCAGAGAGCUGAGCAGAGUUCUGUCACCUAUAACCACAGCCCUAACGAACACACGACUGUGCUCCUUCUUACCUUGUUUGCAUUUUCUACAGAAGUGUUCUUCAGUACACUAACAUGAGUAGACUUAGGAUAAAUAUUUUCCAAAACAAAAACCAGGACACAACCGGACAGUGGGACGAUACUAAUGGGGACGUUGGGCUGGCCGCGGUUGCUCACUGGGCGCAGAUUUUCCACUUCCCACUAACUGAAGGCGAGAGGGUAUGCUGCCCAAUCUGACUCCUGUGCUUGCCAGAGCUCUGCUGACAUGGCACUAAGAAGGCCGAACAAAGCCAAAUCCUCACAGCCAGUUAUUACUGGAGAUCCAGAAUGCUUGUUUGUGAAAAGAAUUCAGCUUAACCCAUAAAUACUAUUGGGGGUUAAUUAUGUGUGAGGCCCUGAGCUUAGUGGUGUGUGUGUCUCCACAUACCUAUAUUUUUCUCAUUUAUUUCGCAUAAUAAUCUCAUGAGAUAGGUACUAUUAAUUCUUAUUUUACUUACAAGGAAAACCCCAAACUUGGCACAUGUUCAUUUGUAACAUGAGAAUAAUAACCUCAUAGACUCGCUGUGUAUUUUUAACGAGGUGACACAAAGAAAACAUUUCGCACUGCCCUCUGUGUAGGGCUCGCUGGGAGUGCUGCUGUUAUGAGGGCAAACGCAGGGACAAAGGCUUAUGACCAGCUACACUGCAGGGAGGGUGGGGACACAGCUGUCACAGGAACUAGCAAGGGCUGCGGGAGAUGGAAAAACCAGAGGCACCAUUUUCUCACUUUCACCGAUGACACGUGCAGCGCCCUCUGCCUCGCAUUACGCUGCUCGUGACAUGCCAGGUCCAGAUGACGCUAGCUGCCCCGGUCAAGAAUGCCUGGCCAAGGCUGUGGAUCCCCUUACCCAGAAAAGCCGCGAGAACCUUGCCCACGUGGCCUCUCUGACAACACAACCUCAGUGAGGAAAUAUCUCCUUUCUAACAGGUUGCCGGCAUCUAAAAGCACAGUGUGAGAAUGAAGGCCUAUCUACUCCAGAGCAACAAGGAGCCGGGCUCACUUACGCUGACGUAGUCCUUCAAGAUAUAGCGAGCAGACCGAGGCUGGUCUGGCUGCCCAUGCGCCGUCAUGAAUCCUCGCAUGUCUGUGAGGCAAAUAACGGUGCAAAACCGAAGUCACAACAAAGACAACCAAGGUGAUGAAAAUUUAGUCUGUUACCCCACUAACUGUGCAUCCUGACUUGUUAGCUUUAUUUUUUUAAAAAGAUUUUCAUUCAUUUGGCCAGGGGUGGGGGAGCAGGGGGGAAGGGGGAGCAUAAGCAGUGGGGAGAGGCAGAGGGAGAAGCAGACCCCCCGCUGAGCUGGGAGUCCAACAUGGGGCUCAAUCCUGGGACCUGGAGAUCACGACCUGAGUCGAAGGCAGACACUUAACCAUUUGAGCCACCUAGGCACCCUUGAGUCACUAGCUUUCAAAAAGCAACCAUCACUGUAGAAGAUAAUCUGAUUAGCACUAUAAAGACAUCUGACAAUCCAGGUGAACAGACGAUAUUGUUCUGAUAUCCAAGCACCAAGUGGUAACAGAGAUAUUCAAUUUCUCUUUACUCUAGUUAUUUCUUUCAUCUCUUCAUUUUAUGAACAUUUAAUCAUGGAGGCUACCUGUAGAAUGCUAUGUUGUCACUAUUAUUAGCAACACCAAAAGUAAUACAGUGAGUAAGUCUCUUCUUGUUUAGUGAUCUAGCUAUGCUUUUUCCAGCUUCUCAAACAUACUGCAAAGAUCCCUCUAAUACUGACUCAACCAGAGGGAGUAGCAGAGCAUAGUGGUUAAGAAUAUAGGCUUUGGCAGACAGGUGGGGUUCAAAACUCGGCUUCCUCACCUACUAGCUGUGUAGUAGGCUCUGCCACUUUGGAAGAAAAUAAAACUCUAGUUCACAUAAUAUUAAAAAAUACAUUUAGGCAAAUUAAAAAUCUAAAAGUAUUUAAAAAAAAAUAGAGGGAAACAAUUUUGUCCUUAGAUAGGGAAGACUCUCCCCAAGUAAAACACCAAACCCCAUCAAGCCAAAAAAGGAAAAAAAAAAAAAAGGCUAUUAAAAUUGUUAAUGUCGAGUGCCUGGGUGGCUCAGUGGGUUAAGCCUCUGCCUUCA